AUUGAACGCUGGCGGCAGGCCUAACACAUGCAAGUCGAGCGGAUGAAGGGAGCUUGCUCCUGGAUUCAGCGGCGGACGGGUGAGUAAUGCCUAGGAAUCUGCCUGGUAGUGGGGGAUAACGUCCGGAAACGGGCGCUAAUACCGCAUACGUCCUGAGGGAGAAAGUGGGGGAUCUUCGGACCUCACGCUAUCAGAUGAGCCUAGGUCGGAUUAGCUAGUUGGUGGGGUAAAGGCCUACCAAGGCGACGAUCCGUAACUGGUCUGAGAGGAUGAUCAGUCACACGAAAAGAGAGACGGGGCAGAGACCCACGGGGGGGACAAGUGGGGGAAAUUGGAGAAAAGGGGAAAACGUGUUACAGCCCCGCGCCGGGUGUGAAAAAAGGCUUUUGAUUUUAAAAAGCUUUUAAUUGGGGGGAAGGGGAGAAAAUUUAAAUCCUUUUGUUUUUAGACUUUCCACAGAAAAAAACCCCCGGAACUCUGC
RNAcentral lists this ribosomal RNA (481 nucleotides) under uncultured bacterium. Its description in RNAcentral is "partial 16S ribosomal RNA". It matches the Rfam family "Bacterial small subunit ribosomal RNA", at positions 30 to 506 of the family's 1533-position model. The record is from RNAcentral.